This 283-nucleotide ribosomal RNA is filed under the name uncultured bacterium. Its description in RNAcentral is "partial 16S ribosomal RNA". It matches the Rfam family "Bacterial small subunit ribosomal RNA", at positions 27 to 307 of the family's 1533-position model. The record is from RNAcentral.
GGACGAACGCUGGCGGCGUGCUUAACACAUGCAAGUCGAGCGGUAAGGCCCUUUCGGGGGUACACGAGGCGGCGAACGGGUGAGUAACACGUGGGUGACCUGCCCUCAGCUCUGGGAUAAGCCUGGGAAACCGGGUCUAAUACCGGAUAUGACUCCAUGACGCAUGUUGUGGGGUAGGAAAGCCUUGUGGCGGCUGAGGAUGGGCCCGCGGCCUAUCAGCUUGUUGGUGGGGUGAUGGCCUACCAAGGGCGACGACGGGUAGCCGGCCUGAGAGGGCGACCGG